GUGGGGAAUCUUCCGCAAUGGACGAAAGUCUGACGGAGCAACGCCGCGUGAGUGAUGAAGGUCUUCGGAUUGUAAAGCUCUGUUAAUCGGGACGAAAGAGCCUAGUGUGAAUAAUGCUAGGAAGUGACGGUACCGGAAUAGAAAGCCACGGCUAACUACGUGCCAGCAGCCGCGGUAAUACGUAGGUGGCAAGCGUUGUCCGGAAUUAUUGGGAGUAAAGCGCGCGCAGGCGGAUCUGCCAGUCUGUCUUAAAAGUUCGGGGCUUAACCCCGUGAUGGGAUGGAAACUACAGAUCUAGAGUAUCGGAGAGGAAAGUGGAAUUCCUAGUGUAGCGGUGAAAUGCGUAGAUAUUAGGAAGAACAACAGGGGCGAAGGCGACUUUCUGGACGAAAACUGACGCUGAGGCGCGAAAGCCAGGGGAGCGAACGGGAUUAGAUACCCUGGUAGUCC
RNAcentral lists this ribosomal RNA (450 nucleotides) under uncultured bacterium. Its description in RNAcentral is "partial 16S ribosomal RNA". It matches the Rfam family "Bacterial small subunit ribosomal RNA", at positions 354 to 796 of the family's 1533-position model. The record is from RNAcentral.